This 207-nucleotide non-coding RNA is filed under the name Candidatus Allofournierella merdavium. RNAcentral describes it as "Candidatus Fournierella merdavium (gut metagenome) 6S RNA". It matches the Rfam family "6S / SsrS RNA". From Rfam's summary of the family: E. coli 6S RNA was the first non coding RNA to be sequenced, but its function was unknown until recently. It consists of 184 nucleotides that fold into an extended hairpin structure with a large single-stranded internal bulge. Lineage: Bacteria; Bacillati; Bacillota; Clostridia; Eubacteriales; Oscillospiraceae. The record is from RNAcentral.
GCUUUCCUGCCUUGUGCGAUUUGUUGCGGCUUGAUAUAAUCCUACUAAUCAAAUAUAGGGAGCCCGCCGUUGCCCGGCGGAUUGCAGACCUCCCGCCCCGCGCACGCGCGGACCAAGGCGGACGAAGGGAGCGCGAGACCGGGCACAGGGCACCCACCUGCCAUCGGGUAGGUUUUGAUUGGUCGCAGACGGCAAGGCGGGGCCUUU